CCUACGUGCGGCAGCAGUGAGGAAUAUUGGUCAAUGGCCGCAGGGCUGAACCAGCCAAGUCGCGUGAGGGAUGACGGUCCUAUGGAUUGUAAACCUCUUUUGUCAGGGAGCAAAGGGCGCCACGUGUGACUCAUUGAGAGUACCCGAAGAAAAAGCAUCGGCUAACUCCGUGCCAGCAGCCGCGGUAAUACGGAGGAUGCGAGCGUUAUCCGGAUUUAUUGGGUUUAAAGGGUGCGCAGGCGGAGGUGCAAGUCAGCGGUCAAAUUGCGGGGCUCAACCCCGUACUGCCGUUGAAACUGCAUCCCUUGAGUGCGCGAGAAGUAUGCGGAAUGCGUGGUGUAGCGGUGAAAUGCAUAGAUAUCACGCAGAACUCCGAUUGCGAAGGCAGCAUACCGGCGCGCAACUGACGCUCAUGCACGAAAGCGUGGGUAUCGAACAGGAUUAGAUACCCCUGUAGUC
This 459-nucleotide ribosomal RNA is filed under the name uncultured bacterium. RNAcentral describes it as "partial 16S ribosomal RNA". It matches the Rfam family "Bacterial small subunit ribosomal RNA", at positions 338 to 795 of the family's 1533-position model. The record is from RNAcentral.